Molecule: long non-coding RNA, 5063 nt
Filed under: Sus scrofa (pig)
Lineage: Eukaryota; Metazoa; Chordata; Mammalia; Artiodactyla; Suidae
Description: lncRNA (ENSSSCG00000058829.1)
Source: RNAcentral
GGGAUUCUGAUUCUAUAGGAUGUUUAUACGUUAGACUCAAAAAGGAAUACAGCAAUGAAGUAAGUUUGUUAAAUACUGGACUGAAUGAGUUUCUCACUCUGAGACAUGGCAUAGCCUUGCAUAAGCAAAUUUGUACUGUGAAUCUUCAAAAUUGGGUUUAUAGUAUUAACUGUUUCUGAAACAUAUAACCAUUAAUAUUUAUUUCUGGAGCAUUCUAGAAGUUAUAGAAUAGUCACUCGUGCUCAUGCAGCAAAUACUUAUUGAGUAACUAUGACUGUGGAAGACAUUGUUCUUGGCACAAUGUUCUUUCCCAGUUGUAGCUUUUAUUCUAGCAGGAUAGCAGCAAAUAAGCCCACAAAACAGACUGUGAUAGCAGUGUAAUAAAUGCUAUAAAAGUAACAAGGAGAUAGGAAGUGGUGGGAUGGGGACUUGUGGUGGGUGUGAGGGGUGGUGGCUAGUUUAGAUCAGUGGUAGGAAGAGGUGUCCCUGGGGAGGGAUAUUUGAGUAGAGACAGGAGUGAACCAGGCAGUGGCCAUGUGAAAAUCUAGGGGGAGCGUAUUCCCAAUGGAGGUAACAGGUUCAAAGGCCACGAGGCAGAAAGUCGCUUGGAGAGUUUCAGAAACAUUAGGAAAGCCAGAGUACUGCAGGCAGAAAGAGGAAGGAGAGAGAAGGAGUAGGAGGCCAGGAGGGAUAAGAGACUCCUCCCUUUAGUAGAGGCAGGGAGGUGCCAGAUCACAUAGGCCCAGAGCAUGAGACUGUUCAGAGAGGAGGUGAGCAUCUCAGGGAUUUGGGGGAUGACACUAUGAGUGAGAGGGUACGUUUUGGGGGUUGGGGAGGAGUGAGAAACUAAAUCCCAUUUGUAUACAUGUUGAACCCACAGGUAUAAGAUACUAGGUGAGGAACGAAUGACGUGGCAUCUUGGACUUGACUGAGGCAAAUAGAGAUAAACCCAAUAGAAAAUAAUUAGCUCUAAUUGCAGCCUCUGUCUUGACAUGGCUUCAUGGGCAGCUGAGGCUUGUGGUGUCCUGAAGGAGGACAGGAGGAUACAUUACCAGGGACAUUCAGGACUCCUGUGGGUUUCAUUAUUGACUGAAGGCCCUGUCCCAGCCAGGGAAAGGACGAUCAUCCUGGGAGAGUCCCGUGGGUCCAGUUUCCUUGAGGGAGAGGACUCUGUUCUCUUUUUGUCACACAAUUCUUAGACCUAUGCUGUAUACAUGGUUCUCAGUAGGUGUUUUUUUCAAGUGAAUUGAAUUUAGACCUUGCGACUUUGAGAAAGUGAAUACUCCAGAAGAGAAAACGACUUACACUAUGGUCAAUAGAAUCCGAGUCCAUAAAAGCUGAGAGAAAAGCAAAUCUAUACAACACAAGAGACCUUAUAAACAUUUCUAUUAUAACCAUUAAUAACAUCAAAUUAUUAAAAGUUUAAAAACUUAAAAUGUGAGUUCCCUGUGGCUCAGCAGCUUAAGGAUCUAGCAUCUCCACUGCUUUGGCUCUGGUUACACAAUGGUUCAUGUUCAGUCCCUGGUUUGGGAACUUCAGCAUGCUGCAGGUACAGCCAAAAGGGGGAAAAAAACCCAACUUCAAAUGAAAAUAAGAUCUUGUAUGCAUAUUAAUGAUAUAUGUGUUAAUACACCUAUAAGAGGCACUAAACUUAAAAAUAAAACCUUGUUUGGUGUUAGAUGUGUAUUUGAAACUUUGUUUUCCUCUUUAAGUUUAUAUCAUUUUUAUCUAAUUCCAUCAAACUCAAAAAUGUCCUUUCUUCUCUAUGGCCAUCAUUAUGCUGAAAAAUUUAAAAGCUAUUGAAAAUGUGACUAAACAUGCCCUUUAGGUAGUUUCUCAAAUUGAUGACGUUAGCUAAUAGUCUUUUAUGAACUUUUCCAUAGAGCUCAUUAACUCCUCGUGAGAGACAUUAACCUCAGAAAGCAUUUCUGUUUCAUCAUGAUGACUAGAGAAUAUGUAAUGGUUGAAAGUAGUAAAUAUAUGAUUAUCUUUCAAUUUUAGAAUUUAUUGAGGAUAAUAGUAGACCGUGGAAGAAUGCCAACUAUAGUUUGAGACAAUGAUGGGAUUGUUUCCUCCGUUGUGACCGACCCUGUGUAUGAAGAACCAUCAAAAAAGUCAGAACAUUCAUCAGUGGCAAGAUAGUAACAAUUUUAAGGAAAUAUUGAUCUAUAAAGAUCAAAUAUUAUUUAAAUUUUACAAUAUGCUUAAGAUUUCAUUUCCAAAAAAUCAGAGGAAACAGAGAAACAGAACAUAAAAAAAUUUGCCCAACCACCACCACCUUCAGACCAUCACUAAUCCCAUUUUGAGUAUCCUAUUCCCAUUUUGCAAUUGGCAAAUUAAAGAUUAGAGAUGGUAAGUGAAUCCCCCAAAGUUACAGAGGAAAAAUUAGUGGCCAUGGUGGUUCUAGGAGGGGAUGGCUGGUGACUUGGGCCUUUGCCUCUUUCACUCUCCAUCAGCAAUUCAAGUAUUCCCUUCCAACCAACCAGGUCCCUUCCACCUUCUGAAGCAGCUUCUAGUUAGCAGCAAUGGGAUCAGGGAUAGAACUGGUUCACCUGAUGCUUGAACCAACUCUCACAGCUAAUGUAAACAAGACAGUGUGCCAAGAGGUCAGAUUUUUAUCUCAGGCUUGAUCUUGCUUCAGGACACUAUUUUAGAAUGUGGACAGUGGAUGACAGAUUAAUCCAAUUAUCAGCCCUACUGAAAUCCAUCCUCUUAGCCAACUAAGGUCUUGUUUGCUAGACUUGCUACAUAAAAAAAAUGAAAUAAACCUAUAAGGGAAUAAAAUAAAUGCUAACUUGGCAUCACGUUUUAGUGGUUGAGUAUUUCUGAAAGAGGAGUUCCUGAUUAAAGAUGCAAGGACCCUGUCAUGCUAAUUUCAGCCAAUUUCCUGCCUCAAAAUGUCUUCCUGCCUCUGUCACGGCCAGUGACUGACAGCUGGCUUAAUAAUUAAAUUCAAACAGUGUUUGCUUUUCUUGACCUUUACUGAGAAAUGAAUUUUCAAGCUCUGGACAUGAAUAGAGUGCUUUGAUUUGGGGAGAGUAAUGUGUUUGCAUCAUCCCCAGCAACCCGUGGAUCUGAUUACCUGGGCUAUUUCUACACUACUUCACAGCGGACUUCUAGAGGAUGGCGGGUAGUGUAGCCACUCUGUAAUUAAUUCCAAGCUUUGGCUCUCGGCACACUCAUCACCCAAAAGAGGGCAUGUUUGUUUCUGAUUGAAUGAAUAAAGGCUCUACCUGACCACUGCUGUCAAGAGCCUUCAAAACCUAUUUAUUUUGAACCUCUAGAUCUUUCACAUUCUGGUGGGAUCUUUGUUCAUGCUAGUUCAUGUGAACAAGUUGUAGCCUUGCCUUUUCUUGCCUUUCUUCCCUUGCUGCUCUUUCCUUCUUUGUUUCCUUAUUGCUCUCCACCCCCCUCUACUGGGGAAGACUUGGUGGUGCAGCAGCAAAGAGCCCUCAGACUUGAGUGAGCUUCAGGAUUUCAACUGUAAAAUGGGAAUAACAAUACCCAUCUCACUGAUGUGUUGAAAGGAUGAGGCCAGACCAUGUGUAUAAUGUGCCCAUCAAGUGCUUGGCACAUGCUGUGGUAGGCACUGGAUACAUGUAACAGCUGCCAUUUUCUUACAUAUACAGUCUUCUUUAUGACCUUUAUUUCUCCUGCUGUGUGAGGUCUGCAGUUUACCAUUUUUUUUUUUUUUAACUUUAGUUCCAGCACUUUUCUCAAAUGCUUCAGAGAGAAUCCUUUCCUUGAGAUAAACCCCCCUGUAUCAUCGUCAGUUUGGCUAUUGCAGAAUAUCCCAGGGUACUUUCUUUGUCUGAGGAGUGCCUACCUUGGAAUUUCUCCAGUCCUCUUCUAACAGUGGAAGAUACCACCUCCCAGAUCUCAGCCAGCUCUAAGGAGGCAACCUCAUCUGUAAAUGAGAGGGUGACUCUAUCUCUAAGAACUUAUCUGGACUGAGUCUAAGAACAAGCCCAUAAGCCUCAGAGGCCUGUAGUGUGCAUGGGGAUGUUCAGUCAUGUUAUGUAAAGCCAAAGUGACCAUAUAAUAUACCACCACACUGGGACACUUCUAAAAGCAAAAGGAGACACUAAAAUUGUUAGAAUUAAGUUAUUUUUUAAAUUUUUUGUUUUUAUUUUUAUUAUUUUUUUCUUUUUAGUGCUGCACUUGCAGUGUAUAGAAUUUCCUGGGCUAGGGAUCGAAUCAGAGCUGCAGCUGCCGGCCUAUGCCACAGCCACAGCAACACCGGAUCUUAGCCCCAUCUGCCAUCUUUGCUGCAGCUUGUGGCAAUGCCAGAUCCUUAACCCAGGGAUUGAACCCAUAUCCUCACAGAGACUAUGCUGUGUUCUUAACCCACUGAGCCACAAUGGGAACUCCAUAGAAUUAAGUUAUUUUUAAAAUAUUUAUUUAGUUAACAAAAAUUUGGCUUUGUUGGUUAUUGUAUUGGGAGAUCUGCAGAAGAGUUUUAUUCAAAACUAUUUUUCAAAAAUAAAAAUCUUAAAAAAACUUGAAUAAUAAUGUAAACUAGAUCAAAAUUUAAAAUUCCAUUAUGGAGUUUUUUAUAUUAAAAUAACAUAAGCACAAUAUUUAUUUUGGGCAAAUAUUCUUGUACUUUAAUUAGUUUCAUGGCUAUCUCUCUCUUAUUAUGCGACACUAGUAUUUUACUGAAGAAUUUUUUUUCAAUAUGGUCUUAUUUUUAAUGCUUUCAUAAAGUCAUCUAUAAUUUUCUUCAAAAUUGCCAUUACGGUUAAUCAAUCUGAGAUUUUUUUAUACCUUCAUCUGUCUCUUCUCUGUAGAAUAUAAUAUUGUUAAGAGAGAAAGUAUUCUAUAGAUGCUGAGGUACCUAGUAAACUUAGAGCCAAUUCUGCUAAAUGGAGGCUAUUUCCAAAUAUAUAUACUUUUUGUAUUGAAAUGGAAAAAUAUGUCAAUCCAAAUAUUUUCAGAGGUACUUUUAGUGCUAUUCAGAGUACCUUUCUUUAACAAAUGUUUUUAUAAGACAAUAUCAUCAAAUAUAUGUUGCGUUUGAGUCUAGAGUCUUUCAACAAAGUGUUUCAGAUUCUGUAAAAAAA